Non-coding RNA from Picea glauca (white spruce), 944 nucleotides. The record is from Rfam. NCBI's taxonomy places the organism in Eukaryota, Viridiplantae, Streptophyta, Pinopsida, Pinales, Pinaceae.
GUUCAAACGAGGAAGGGCUUACGGUGGAUACCUAGGCACCUAGAGACGAGGAAGGGCGUGGUAAGGGAUGAAAUGCUUCGGGGAGUUGAAAAUGAGCAUAGAUCCGGAGAUUCCCGAAUAGGUUAACCUUUUUAACUGCUGUUGAAUCCAUGGGUAGGAAAGAGACAACUUGGCGAACUGAAACAUCUUAGUAGCCAGAGGAAUAGAAAGAAAAAGAGAUUCCCGUAGUAGCGGCGAGCGAAAUGGGAGCAGCCCAAAUUGUGAAAACGGGGUUGUGGGAGAGCACAAUAUAAGCUCUGUGCUGCUAGGCGAAAUGGUUGAGUCCUACACCCUAGAUGGUGAGAGUCUAGUAGCCAAAAGCAUCAUUGGGUUACGCUCUAACCUGAGUAGCAUGGGGCACGUGGAAUCCCAUGUGAAUCAGCAAGAACCACCUUGCAAGGCUAAAUACUCCUGGGUAACCGAUAGCGAAGUAGUACCAUGAGGGAAAUGUGAGAAGAACCCCCAUCGGGGAGUGAAAUAGAACAUGAAACCGUAAGCUCCCAAGCUGUGGGAGGAAAAUGAUAUCUCUGAACGCGUGCCUAUUGAAGAAUGAGCCGACGACUUAUAGGCACUGGCUUGGUUAAGGGAACCCACCGGAGCCAUAGAGAGAGUGAGUCUUCAUGGGGCAAUUUUCACUGCUUAUGGACCCGAACCUGGGUAAUCUAUCCAUGACUAGGAUGAAGCUUGGGUGAAACUAAGUGGAGGUCCAAACUGACUGAUGUUGAAAAAUCAGUGUAUGAGUCGUGGUUAGGGGUGAAAUGCCACUCGAACCCAGAGCUAGUUGGUUCUCCCCGAAAUGCGUUGAGGCGCAGCAGUUGACUGGACCAUCUAGGGGUAAAGCAUUAUUUCGGUACGGGCCAUGAGAGUGGUACCAAAUCAAGGAAAACUCUGAAUACUAGAUUGCC